Molecule: ribosomal RNA, 460 nt
Filed under: uncultured bacterium
Lineage: Bacteria
Description: partial 16S ribosomal RNA
Rfam family: Bacterial small subunit ribosomal RNA
Source: RNAcentral
CCUACGGGGGGCAGCAGUGAGGAAUAUUGGUCAAUGGGCGCGAGCCUGAACCAGCCAAGUAGCGUGAAGGAUGACUGCCCUACGGGUUGUAAACUUCUUUUAUCAAGGAAUAAAGUGAGGCACGUGUGCCUUUUUGUAUGUACUUUAUGAAUAAGGAUCGGCUAACUCCGUGCCAGCAGCCGCGGUAAUACGGAGGAUCCGAGCGUUAUCCGGAUUUAUUGGGUUUAAAGGGCGCGUAGAUGGGUUGUUAAGUCAGUUGUGAAAGUUUGCGGCUCAACCGUAAAAUUGCAAUUGAUACUGGCAGCCUUGAGUAAAGUUGAGGUAGGCGGAAUUCGUGGUGUAGCGGUGAAAUGCUUAGAUAUCACGAAGAACUCCGAUUGCGAAGGCAGCUUACUAAACUGUGACUGACAUUGAUGCUCGAAAGUGUGGGUAUCAAACAGGAUUAGAUACCCGAGUAGUC